RNAcentral lists this unclassified non-coding RNA (956 nucleotides) under Faucicola osloensis. RNAcentral describes it as "Moraxella osloensis miscellaneous RNA". The stretch from base 844 to 956 matches the Rfam family "Bacterial large subunit ribosomal RNA", at positions 1 to 113 of the family's 2925-position model. Lineage: Bacteria; Pseudomonadati; Pseudomonadota; Gammaproteobacteria; Moraxellales; Moraxellaceae. The record is from RNAcentral.
GUCGUAACAAGGUAGCCGUAGGGGAACCUGCGGCUGGAUCACCUCCUUAACUAAAGCACUAAGUGAGAAUUCACAGCAAGUUGUUCUUGUGUAUAAAUAAGCUAAUUCGAGGGUUACGGCUUUAGAAUUUACUUCGUAAAUUCUCUUGCACUCGGGCAAAGCGAUGCUUUGCUAAUCCUCGUUCAGGGUCUAUAGCUCAGUUGGUUAGAGCACUGCCUUGAUAAGGCAGGGGUCAUAAGUUCAAGUCUUAUUAGACCCACCAUUAGAUGAGCUUAGUAAGCGCAAGCGAACUUAGCGAAACCUAUGUACCGCUACUUAAUUGAGUCGUUACUUAAUCGAGUAAAGAUACAUAAAACUUUAACCAGCUACAGUAAUUAAGUAGCGGGGCCAUAGCUCAGUUGGUAGAGCGCCUGCCUUGCACGCAGGAGGUCAGGAGUUCGACUCUCCUUGGCUCCACCAUAAUUAGCUUAACGUUAUAAAGCAGACAGAGUAAUUUAGUAAGUAUUAAGAGAUUACUUCAAUCUGUUUUAUCAGAAAUCACGACCUGACGAAGGUCUGAUAAUUCAAUAACAACAUAGAGAAAUGAGUCUGGGUUAAUUAUCAAGUUCCAACGAAGAUAAUUAACCUUUACCGCACCUUGCUGCCUUUAGCAGACAGGUGCGGUAUAAAAGUAAAGAGAACUGAAUCAAGCGUAAACAUAGGUGAAGAUCGUUACCAUUACGAAUAUAACUCAAAUAGAAAAGUGCAGUAAGCACUUGCUUGAAAUCUCGAAUUAUUUCGAGAUGCAAAGCAAGUAAUAGCUGUCACUCAUUUGGCAACAGAUGAAGCUAUUUAGGGUUGUAUAGUCAAGUAAUGAAGUGCACAUGGUGGAUGCCUUGGCAGUCAGAGGCGAUGAAAGACGUGACAGCCUGCGAAAAGCGUCGGGGAGGCGGCAAUAUCCUGUGAUCCGGCGAUAU